GACGAACGCUGGCGGCGUGCUUAACACAUGCAAGUCGAACGGUAAGGCCCUUCGGGGUACACGAGUGGCGAACGGGUGAGUAACACGUGGGUGAUCUGCCCUGCACUUCGGGAUAAGCCUGGGAAACUGGGUCUAAUACAGGAUAGGACUCCUGGCUUCAUGGUUGGGGGUGGAAAGCUUUUGCGGUGUGGGAUGGGCCCGCGGCCUAUCAGCUUGUUGGUGGGGUAAUGGCCUACCAAGGCGACGACGGGUAGCCGGCCUGAGAGGGUGACCGGUCACACUGGGACUGAGAUACGGUCCAGACUCCUACGGGAGGCAGCAGUGGGGAAUAUUGCACAAUGGGCGCAAGCCUGAUGCAGCGACGCCGCGUGAGGGAUGACGGCCUUCGGGUUGUAAACCUCUUUCAGCUAUGACGAAGCGCAAGUGACGGUAGUAGCAGAAGAAGGACCGGCCAACUACGUGCCAGCAGCCGCAGUAA
RNAcentral lists this ribosomal RNA (478 nucleotides) under uncultured bacterium. RNAcentral's name for it is "partial 16S ribosomal RNA". It matches the Rfam family "Bacterial small subunit ribosomal RNA", at positions 28 to 523 of the family's 1533-position model. The record is from RNAcentral.